CGGGAAAACAGUCAAGGUCGAACAAUGCAUAACAGUAAACUACAAUAUAUCAGUUUUCCAGAAUCAUCUCCUAAUUUUCGAAGAAGAUUUCAGAUAGCUAAUGAUAUCGGAUCAAGACGUGCUAUAGCUCGUUAGAAAGCUAACCAAACCAUCUUUGACUUUCAUGAAGACAUCGAGCACCAAAAAGCACAUAUACUAACUCAAUUCUGGGCAUACGCACAAAGAGGUCCGUCAAGAAUCCGAGGUUGCAGAACAAUUGUCAUCCAAGUUCAAAAAAUCAUAGAACCAAAAGAUCUAACUGUAAUCAACUCUAAAUCAAUCAAGUAUUGAUUCUAAUCAGAUUCGCAAUGCAUCUUGGCCCCGAACCUUAGUUGUCGAGAAUGCAUUUCGACACGAGAAGCUCUCGCCUCAUCGGAUGCUAUUAAAAGGAGUUUCAAGCACUUACCUUGAUUGAAUCGUCGAAGAACAUGCCUUCGAAUCUCUUCAUUUAGCAAUGACGAAACUGCUAUUUAACAUAAAAAAAAAUAUUGAAAUUAGCGGAGAGUCGAAUUUUAUUUUGUUCUGUAAUCAAAACAGAAAAAGGAAAUGGAACGCUUAGCUUUGAUUUUGCUUCGAGGACUACGGAACGUGAAGAACACCGAGUCAGAUUCUGGUAUAAGAGCUAUUCAGCACCGAUCUUCAAGCUCUGAUUUAUGACUUUCGCAGAUCAUGAUCACUCUUCUCUAAUCCUUUUUCUAGAUCAACACUCAAAGAUGAACACAUCGGUGCAUCAUAGUCGCUGGACUUUGCUGAAAAUACUGAUCGCCUGAUGAAGAAACGAUUGGACUUUGCUCAGGACUUCAUUCGAUGUCGAUCUCCGAUUUUUGACUUACGAGACUCAUCAACGGACGCUAAUCAACGAAAUUGAAGAGAUCGACGUCAACAAAAUCUGAUGUAAUCAGAGUCCAAGCACACCAAGUAUACGAGUAGAGAUUGAGAAGACUUAGC
Molecule: long non-coding RNA, 987 nt
Filed under: Eucalyptus grandis
Lineage: Eukaryota; Viridiplantae; Streptophyta; Magnoliopsida; Myrtales; Myrtaceae
Description: long non-coding RNA (EGRA_LNC000202)
Source: RNAcentral